GCACAAAUUUUCAAUCAAAUUCUUUUUAAUAUUCCAAAAAUAAUUUGAAAUAUAAUUGUUAAAUGCGUGUUUUUUCAUAUAUAAAAGUGAUGUCUGACCAAAAUAUCUGCGCGUGUUUGUAAAGUCUCUGCUUAUACGAUUCGCCCAUCGUACAUGUGCUAUACCAUGCCUGACUUGUGUGACUGGGCUCGUCAACUGGAUUUUGAUCUGUGCUGGUGAACAUGGCAACGUAUACCAAUCAGGAAUACGCCGACGUCCUAAUGGUAAUUGUGCAUAAAGGAUUACCCUCGUAACAGAGUCAGAGACUGGGAAUGACAUAUUGGCCAAUAGUCCGAUGUACGUUGCGUUAGAAACCCAGCAUUUAUUAAACUGUACAAAACAAUCAACAAGUUAAUACGGCGGCCGUCAAUUAAAUGAUAAACUCGAGCUUCUAAACCUGUUAAGGUUGCACAAAUGUGAGUAAAGGGCGUUUUUAAAACCUUAAGGACUAUAAGCACAGCAACGUCGAAUUUGCCGAUGGUCAAAACCAUUCUAUUGUAAUGCAGCACCAGAAUCUAGCACAAAAAUGUUCCGAAAUAACCUAACUGAUGCCUGAUCAGAAAACGUGACACCAAAUCGUUCGAGUUGAAAUUGAUGCAGGGUUUCGGUGUAUUAGAUGUGCGAAUGAUCUUCGCAACCAUGUCUUGUUGCGACCUGAAUUGGCACACCCUUCUGUGCAGCAAAAUGUAUGCAUCUAAGUGAAUUAAAGCAUCUCGACAGCGGCGAAAAUCUGCAAUCUCAACACAGCCAGUAGGAAACUGCACCUUACAAUUACAAUUCAAGAAGCGCGAGCAAUAAAGAAAAACCAAGACAGCUGAGCUUCUCAAGUAUGCUCUCCCCGAUAUUUUGCUCAAUUCAUAAGAGAGGCGAUACUAUAAUUUGCGCCAAUUAUAGCAGAAUAAGUCUUCUGAACAUUCCAUAUAGUGUAAGUCCAUCAGAGCAUCGUCAAUGAACUUACUGGGCAUAUCAGUGUGGCUUCUUUCCUCGAAAAUCAAACGUCAGCCAGAUACUUUAUAAGUAGAGUUUCUUUAUAGAAUUUCUUUAUA
This is a long non-coding RNA of Anastrepha obliqua, 1085 nucleotides long. RefSeq lists it as uncharacterized. The transcript is spliced from 3 exons. NCBI's taxonomy places the organism in Eukaryota, Metazoa, Arthropoda, Insecta, Diptera, Tephritidae. The record is from RefSeq and is a predicted model, not a curated record.